This 914-nucleotide ribosomal RNA is filed under the name uncultured archaeon. RNAcentral describes it as "bacterial SSU rRNA". It matches the Rfam family "Archaeal small subunit ribosomal RNA", at positions 1 to 922 of the family's 1478-position model. The record is from RNAcentral.
UUCCGGUUGAUCCCGCCGGACCUGACUGCUAUCGGAUUGAUACUAAGCCAUGCGAGUCAUUGUAGCAAUACAAGGCAGACGGCUCAGUAACGCGUAGUCAACCUAACCUAUGGACGGGAAUAACCUCGGGAAACUGAGAAUAAUGCCCGAUAGAACACUAUGCCUGGAAUGGUUUGUGUUCCAAAUGAUUUAUCGCCGUAGGAUGGGACUGCGGCCUAUCAGUUUGUUGGUGAGGUAAUGGCCCACCAAGACUAUUACAGGUACGGGCUCUGAGAGGAGUAGCCCGGAGAUGGGUACUGAGACAUGGACCCAGGCCCUAUGGGGCGCAGCAGGCGAGAAAACUUUGCAAUGUGCGAAAGCACGACAAGGUUAAUCCGAGUGGUUUCUGCUAAAGGAACCUUUUGUCGGUCCUAGAAACACCGAUGAAUAAGGGGUGGGCAAGUUCUGGUGUCAGCCGCCGCGGUAAAACCAGCACCUCAAGUGGUCAGGAUGAUUAUUGGGCCUAAAGCAUCCGUAGCCUGCUUUGUUAGUUUUCGGUUAAAUCUAUGCGCUCAACGUAUAGGCUGCCGGGAAUACUGCAAAGCUAGGGAGUGGGAGAGGUAGACGGUACUCGGUAGGAAGGGGUAAAAUCCUUUGAUCUAUUGAUGACCACCUGUGGCGAAGGCGGUCUACCAGAACACGUCCGACGGUGAGGGAUGAAAGCUGGGGGAGCAAACCGGAUUAGAUACCCGGGUAGUCCCAGCCGUAAACCAUGCAAACUCAGUGAUGCAUUGGCUUGUGGCCAAUGCAGUGCUGCAGGGAAGCCGUUAAGUUUGCCGCCUGGGAAGUACGUACGCAAGUAUGAAACUUAAAGGAAUUGGCGGGGGAGCACCACAAGGGGUGAAGCCUGCGGUUCAAUUGGAGUCAACGCCGGG